AGGUAACACGCUUACGUUGCGGUUCUGUGCACGGUUCGUACCCGCCUGCCGAUUGCGCUACCUGUCGUUAGUC
Molecule: small RNA, 73 nt
Filed under: Xanthomonas phaseoli pv. phaseoli
Lineage: Bacteria; Pseudomonadati; Pseudomonadota; Gammaproteobacteria; Lysobacterales; Lysobacteraceae
Description: Xanthomonas axonopodis pv. phaseoli sX9
Source: RNAcentral